GAUGAACGCUAGCGGCAGGCCUAAUACAUGCAAGUCGGACGGGAUUCAGGAGCUUGCUUCUGAUGAGAGUGGCGCACGGGUGCGUAACACGUAUGUAACCUACCUUUAUCAGGGGGAUAGCCUCCCGAAAGAGAGAUUAAGCCCGCAUAAAAUCACAGCACAGCAUUGUGUAAUGAUCAAAUAUUUAUAGGAUAAAGAUGGGCAUGCGGAACAUUAGCUAGAUGGCGGGGUAACGGCCCACCAUGGCGACGAUGUUUAGGGGAUCUGAGAGGAUGGCCCCCCACACUGGUACUGAGACACGGACCAGACUCCGACGGGAGGCAGCAGUAAGGAAUAUUGGUCGAUGGGCGGAAGCCUGAACCAGCCAUGCCGCGUGCAGGAAGACGGCCCUACGGGUUGUAAACUGCUUUUAUACGGGAAUAAACCCAGAUACGUGUAUCUGGCUGAAUGUACUGUAAGAAUAAGGAUCGGCUAACUCCGUG
Molecule: ribosomal RNA, 482 nt
Filed under: uncultured bacterium
Lineage: Bacteria
Description: partial 16S ribosomal RNA
Rfam family: Bacterial small subunit ribosomal RNA
Source: RNAcentral